Molecule: unclassified non-coding RNA, 236 nt
Filed under: Chalara sp.
Lineage: Eukaryota; Fungi; Ascomycota; Leotiomycetes; Helotiales
Also listed under: 2 other names
Description: partial internal transcribed spacer region
Rfam family: Eukaryotic small subunit ribosomal RNA (bases 1-46)
Source: RNAcentral
AAGUCGUAACAAGGUUUCCGUAGGUGAACCUGCGGAAGGAUCAUUACAGAGUUCAUGCCCUAACGGGUAGACCUCCCACCCUUUGUUAUACCUACCUUUGUUGCUUUGGCGGGCCGCCUUCGGGCUAUCGGCUUCGGCUGGUGCGCGCCCGCCAGAGAACCCCAAAUUCUGAAUUAUAAUGUCGUCUGAGUACUAUAUAAUAGUUAAAACUUUCAACAACGGAUCUCUUGGUUCUG